UACGUAGGGGGCGAGCGUUAUCCGGAUUCACUGGGUGUAAAGGGAGCGUAGACGGCUGGGCAAGCCUGAUGUGAAAGGCGGGGGCGCAACCCUCGGACUGCAUUGGGAACUGUCCGGCUGGAGCGCCGGAGGGGUAAGCGGAAUUCCUGGUGUAGCGGUGAAAUGCGUAGAUAUCAGGAGGAACACCGGUGGCGAAGGCGGUCAACUGGACAGCAACUGACGCUGAGGCGCGAAAGCGUGGGGAGCAAACAGG
This 253-nucleotide ribosomal RNA is filed under the name uncultured Eubacteriales bacterium. RNAcentral's name for it is "uncultured Clostridiales bacterium partial 16S ribosomal RNA". It matches the Rfam family "Bacterial small subunit ribosomal RNA", at positions 524 to 776 of the family's 1533-position model. Lineage: Bacteria; Bacillati; Bacillota; Clostridia; Eubacteriales. The record is from RNAcentral.